GGGUUUGAUUAUGGCUCAGGAUGAACGCUGGCGGCGUGCUUAACACAUGCAAGUCGAACGAACCUUCGGGUUAGUGGCGGACGGGUGAGUAACGCGUGGGAAUCUGCCCUCAGGAGGGGGAUAACGGCCGGAAACGGCCGCUAAUACCCCAUAUGCCGAGAGGUGAAAUGAAUUUCGCCUGAGGAUGAGCCCGCGUCUGAUUAGCUAGUUGGUGAGGUAAGAGCUCACCAAGGCAUCGAUCAGUAGCUGGUCUGAGAGGAUGAUCAGCCACACUGGGACUGAGACACGGCCCAGACUCCUACGGGAGGCAGCAGUGGGGAAUUUUCCGCAAUGGGCGAAAGCCUGACGGAGCAACGCCGCGUGAGGGAUGAAGGCCUCUGGGCUGUAAACCUCUUUUAUCAAGGAAGAAGAUCUGACGGUACUUGAUGAAUAAGCCACGGCUAAUUCCGUGC
RNAcentral lists this ribosomal RNA (452 nucleotides) under uncultured bacterium. RNAcentral describes it as "bacterial SSU rRNA". It matches the Rfam family "Bacterial small subunit ribosomal RNA", at positions 9 to 508 of the family's 1533-position model. The record is from RNAcentral.